ACUUCUCAUUCACACACAGAGAGAGACAGAGGAGGGGAGAGAACCGGUGCUGCGUUCUCUGGUCGCCAUUCAGUUGGAACGAUUCUGAAGUUUCUUCUCUUGGAACCGUUUGUUGUUCCUGUCGCUUCUUCUGGUGCUGCUCCGGCUCCGGCUCCGGCUCUGCUCCAUCUCCAUGGGAGAAAGACAAAGGAGGGGAAACAACUCAGACCCACGAUAUCGUUCAUCUUCUUCGGGUUGGAUCUUCAUCUGAGAGAAUCGAAAGAAUCCCAUUCCCAUGUUUGUUCGUGGGUCUGCGUGAGUGCUCUGUUGGGAUCAACAAACCUUACCAUCGGUCAUCCUCUUCCCAUAACUUGAGGUUCCUCUCUGAAUCUCCAGUGGACCAAUUUAUUGUGAACGGUAGCUGCAGAAAUUUGACUCUAAUUCCCAUUCAUCAGUGGAAGGGAAAACUUUCAGCUCAUAGAAGGCCACUUACAGAUAAGGCAGCAUAUAGGUCUUACUUUACUCCAUACCUAUUGAUUUUUUCUGAAUGCUGCUGUUGUUAACCUUUUUUUUGUUGUGUGGUUUCCCUGAGUAGUUCAAUUUUUGUUUUUUAGUGUCUUAAUGUGAUUUGCAAUUCAAAUUUGAGGCUGAUGUUGAUGUGUAUUGGUUCCUAAAACAUAUGGUCACAAUAUUGAAGGUUGAGUUUUGAGAAAUGGACUCGGUUUAAUCAUAUCAUCUAUAUUUAUUGAGAACUUGGAUUUCGUUUGAUGUGUGCUUCAAAUGCAAACUGAUUGGACAGUUGCACUUGCGAGACUAGUUUUCUCUGUUCAUUUAUGUGACCGCCUUUCUUACAUGGUCAUUGAAUUACUGCUUGUGCAUGACAACUAUUGGUUUGAGUGCACUAACUUUGAUUUUUUCCUAAAUCUUUGAAAUUUGUGAUUGGUUUUCGUUACAGUUAUUUUAAUCUAUUUGAAGCAUCAAAUCAGUAAAACAACUCAAAAUUUGGAAAUUCAUAAGAUUCAUGUAAAUUUGUACUUGUUAUGAUCUUAGUGAGCAAGGCUACACAAGGGGGUAAAUGGUUUUUAUUGUAUUAGAAUUUAAGGGUUUUAGAGAAGAAGCAUUCAUGAAAUGUGAUGACAAUGUUUUGUUAGCGGAACCAAAUUUUAAACUUUCUCCCAAGGAGGGUCAAUUUGAUGGGUUACAUAGAGAGUUGAUGAAGGAGAAUUGGUCUGCCACUAUGUAGGCUUUAAGUGGUCCCCUUCCACCCCCCCCCCUUGACAGACUAAACUCUUCGCAAAACCCAAAAUAUCUCAAAUAUUUCCGAAUCUUUUAGACCGAUUCGUAUCUGUAGCAAAUUAUAGUUCAGGGCUGAGUUUAGUCUCUAUGAUAGGGUUCUAAAUUGCCUCAGCUUAGGAAUUCAGAAAUCCCUUAGAAAUCAAAAUCUCAGUGAAUGGUUCUGUAACUAGGCUCAAGCGAAAAUUGAAUUCAGCAAGUCAAAUGUUCAAAUGAGACCAGAAAUAAGG
This is a long non-coding RNA of Macadamia integrifolia, 1502 nucleotides long. RefSeq lists it as uncharacterized. Lineage: Eukaryota; Viridiplantae; Streptophyta; Magnoliopsida; Proteales; Proteaceae. The transcript has 3 exons. The record is from RefSeq and is a predicted model, not a curated record.